CCUACGGGAGGCAGCAGUGGGGAAUAUUGCACAAUGGGGGGAACCCUGAUGCAGCAACGCCGCGUGAAGGAAGACGGUUUUCGGAUUGUAAACUUCUAUCAAUAGGGAAGAAAGAAAUGACGGUACCUAAAUAAGAAGCCCCGGCUAACUACGUGCCAGCAGCCGCGGUAAUACGUAGGGGGCAAGCGUUAUCCGGAAUUACUGGGUGUAAAGGGAGAGUAGGCGGCAAGGUAAGCGAUAUGUGAAAGCCUUAGGCUUAACCUGAGGAUUGCAUAACGAACUAUCUAGCUAGAGUACAGGAGAGGAAAGCGGAAUUCCUAGUGUAGCGGUGAAAUGCGUAGAUAUUAGGAAGAACACCAGUGGCGAAGGCGGCUUUCUGGACUGAAACUGACGCUGAGGCUCGAAAGCGUGGGGAGCGAACAGGAUUAGAUACCCCAGU
This 439-nucleotide ribosomal RNA is filed under the name uncultured bacterium. RNAcentral describes it as "bacterial SSU rRNA". It matches the Rfam family "Bacterial small subunit ribosomal RNA", at positions 338 to 791 of the family's 1533-position model. The record is from RNAcentral.